Long non-coding RNA from Equus caballus (horse), 1794 nucleotides. The record is from Ensembl. NCBI's taxonomy places the organism in Eukaryota, Metazoa, Chordata, Mammalia, Perissodactyla, Equidae.
AAAAAAUCAUUUUUUCUGUAAUCGUAUUUUAACUAAAACUUGCCAAAACAAAAAUACAAAUGUUAAAAAAUUAUACUUGAGAAAGUAUAAAUUUUUGUUUUAGUAACAAGACCAAAUGCUCCAAUUAAAUUAUAGUUACCUAUAACUUGCUCCUUCUGAUGCAUUUUUCUUUGUAUUGUCUGUCAUAUUUAUCUAAUAUAUGAAUAACUUUCUGAUUGUAAUUGGCUCACAGUCCAGUUGGAAGGAUUGACAUUCAGUGUGAUUUCUUCUUUGAUUGGGAUAAGCAUCCGGUGCUAUGAGAAGACGGAGUAGGGAAACCAAACCUGGGUGGCUUCCCAAGGCGAUGUCAGCUAUGAGCCAUGUUAUUUGAAAGUAUGUGAAUUAUCCAGAGGAGAAGAAAGAUGGAUGGGGAGAGAUUUCUAGGGAACAUGUUCAAAGUCACAAAGGAAAAGAGAACAUGGACAAGGUAAGCAAACAUGGAUGAAAACUCUCCAGGGGGAGAAUUAUUAGGUGAAGACCAAGUGGGCACUGCUCCUAGCCAGUAUUUGCCUGAACACAUCGCUGGGCCUGCUUCACGUCGCUCCAGUACUCGUCUCCCGUCUCUCUCCAAGGAUGGCCUCCUCUUACUCACCUGCUUUGCAUAUUCUAAAAAUUCUUUGAGACUUGUCUCAGUGUCUUCCUCCUCCGGAGAUGAGCUUCUGAAGCUUUACAUUCUUAGAACUUUUAUUUGUGAUACUCAUAUAGCUCACGUAACACUUAUCUUACAUUGCCCUGUUCUUUCUUAACAUUCUAAUUAUAUUUCAAGCUCCUGGAGGGCACAGACCAUAUUUUCUAUCUACCAAAUCCCCGGGAGGGAUUUAAAAGAUCACUUAGAAAGGUGGUCCCUUAGCUGAUUAUCCAUAUCUUUUGGGAGCUUUUUAAAGAUAUGAAUUCUCAGGUCCCAUCUUAUAUGUAAUGAAUCAGAUGUUGUGUGUGUGUUUGUCUUUGUUUGCUGAGGGCAGAGUCAGGUAGAGGGAUGUGAAAAGAAGCUAUGUUUUUGGUUUUUUGGGGUUUUUUUUGAGGAAGAUUAGCUCUGAGCUAACAUCUGCUGCCAAUCCCCCUCUUUUUGCUGAGGAAGACUGGCCCUGAGAUAACAUCUGUGCCCAUCUUCCUCUAUUUUAUGAGGGACGCCAACCACAACAUGGCUUGACAAGCGGUGCAUGGGUCCACACCCAGGAUCUGAACCAGCGAACCCCAGGCCGCCGAAGCAGAACGUGUGAACUUAUCCGCUGCGCCACCGGGCUGGACCCCUAUGUUUUUGUUUUUUGUUCUACAAGACUUACUGUCUACAAAAACUGUCUACAAAAUAUAGCGCCUCCUACUGAUGCUUUGGUGCCAUGUGAGAGGAGCAAGGAACAAAAGCUCCAGAGGCUUUGUCUGCUUCAGACCGUUUAGGAUGGACCAAAUUCAUAUGGUACCCUGGAAGCUCAGUUCCAGAGCACAGCCGGACGUGGCACACCUCCAGUGGGAGCAGCUCAUGUGGCAUUUCAGUGGCUUAUGCCCCCAAACAGCCACUGCAACUUGUUUCCCUGAGAGAUUUAUUCAACUGCUAUCUUCUAAGGCAUACUGAUUUUUAACGUAUAUGGUAGUUUUCAUUAUCAUAAACUGUCCUUGUUCCAUACUGUUCUUUUUUUCUUUUUUAAAGCAUCUCAUUUUUUUUCAUUAAAAAAAUAUUUUUACUUUUUUGAAAUAUUCCAUUGGGAUCAAUUCACAAUUUGGUUCACCGUGCAUUUUUUUAUGCAUAUAAAAUUUUAC